Molecule: ribosomal RNA, 345 nt
Filed under: uncultured bacterium
Lineage: Bacteria
Description: partial 16S ribosomal RNA
Rfam family: Bacterial small subunit ribosomal RNA
Source: RNAcentral
CCUACGGGAGGCAGCAGUGGGGAAUAGUGGACAAUGGGGGAAACCCUGAUCCAGCGACGCCGCGUGAGUGAAGAAGUAAUUCGGUACGUAAAGCUCUAUCAGCAGGAAAGAAAAUGACGGUACCUGACAAAGAAGCCGCGGCUAACGACGGGCCAGCAGACGCGGUAACACGAAGGGGGCAAGCGUUAUCCGGAUUUACUGGGGGUAAAGGGAGCGGAGAAGGGAGCGCAAGUCUGGAGUUAAAUGCCGGGGCCCAACCCCGGAACUGCUCUUGAAACUGUGAAGCUGGAGUGCAGGAGAGGUACGCGGACUUCCUGGUGUAGCUGUGACAUUCGUAGAUAUCAG